UACGAAGGGGGCUAGCGUUGCUCGGAAUCACUGGGCGUAAAGCGACACGUAGGCGGACUCUUAAGUCGGUGGUGAAAUCCUGGAGCUCAACUCCAGAACUGCCUUCGAUACUGAGAGUCUUGAGUCCGGGAGAGGUGAGUGGAACUGCGAGUGUAGAGGUGAAAUUCGUAGAUAUUCGCAAGAACACCAGUGGCGAAGGCGGCUCACUGGCCCGGUACUGACGCUGAGGUGCGAAAGCGUGGGGAGCAACAGG
This 253-nucleotide ribosomal RNA is filed under the name uncultured bacterium. Its description in RNAcentral is "partial 16S ribosomal RNA". It matches the Rfam family "Bacterial small subunit ribosomal RNA", at positions 524 to 775 of the family's 1533-position model. The record is from RNAcentral.